AAAUUGUAAUUGGAAAGAAAAAACGGGCCUGGAGUUUGAACGGGAAGAAAGAUAGAAGGAACAUAUCAAAGAUUAAAAACCCAAUUACAAGUAAUCGUGAUUAAUAAUGGUGAGUUCAUCUUUAGCUGAGUAAAGUAGAAGAUGGCUAGGGUUUCGAAUUGGUGGACUCACACUAAAACAUUAUUAAUAAUCUGGUUCAUCUCUUCACUCACCUUCUAUUCUCUGCUUCGUAUGGCUCUUUUCAAUGCUUCUCGCGAUUCUCCCCCCGAUUCUUCUUCAGUAAAUGUAGUUGCUAAAGAUUCUCGAGCAAGGCUGUAUAACAAGAUGGCGAGGGAUUUACAUGAAAAAGGAGCACUCUUUCUCAAACAAGGGGAAACUUCACAAUCCUUGUCACUUUCUGAUAUCUUUUCUCUGAAGGAUGGAUCUGUCACCCCUAUCCUCAAGGCUGCAGAUCCUCCAGUACGAGCUAAUGUAUUGCACCUAAGCCCUCAGCAGUCAUUUCCAAUCUCGGAAGCUGUAAGGAAUAUUUUUCUUCCGCACUUCAAUAAAGUGAUAUGGUUUCAGAAUUCUAGCAUGUACCAUUUUAGCAUGUAUCAUGCUUCCCACCACAUUGUACCCGUGCCUGCUACAGCUGUGGAGAUUGAAGCUGAGGCAAAUGCAGUUAAAGCUGUUGCAAAGACUGUAUGCCCAUUAAAAAUUGUUUUAGAUAGGGUGGUUUUGACUUCAACAGGUGUGGUUUUGGGCUGUUGGCAGGUCCUUUCUGGAACAGAUCCUGUAACAAUUCGUGCUAAAUUGAAAACUGCCCUUCCACGUUCUCCAGAAAAGCAACUUUAUGAUAAUGUGAUGCUUCACACCUCAUUUGCAAGGCUUCUUGGUCGUCCCAAUACUUACCCUAAGGAGGUUGAUAAAACUUUCGAGCUUAAGUUCUUUGAUGAGCUAGUAACUCGUGCGAACAACCAACUCAGUGGGUUUCAGGCAACUGUUACAGAGCUCUGGUAUGUGGAAGAAUAUGAUGUCCUGGCACUUGCAUUGAAUGGAAGAAUGAAGGCUCGCAAAUUCCAACUUGGCUGUUCAAAUGCAUGAAGUUACCGAAGUUUGAUAAUAAUGACAAUUCGCCUGCAAGAAUCUGUCAUAUAACUUUCAUCUUAUUGCUCAGCUGAAACAGUGAUCGAAGGGGAUUACCGUGGCUUGAACUCGUUAGAUUGUGUUUUCCAUUUUCGAGUUGAAGGUGAAUAGUACCUGAGGCUGAUUAUGAACCCUUGUUUUUAUUUGAAAUUUAUUUUUCUGGUUGUUUUUUAUUUGUAAAUUUGUUUACAUGUGCUUUGUGAGGUUAGUGUGUAUAGUAUAUAUCGAUUUUCAUUUCGUCCGCUGAAAAGUUUUUCGAGUUAAUGAUCUUGUAUAUAACUGUUACCG
This is an RNA transcript of Daucus carota subsp. sativus, 1413 nucleotides long. RefSeq lists it as uncharacterized. NCBI's taxonomy places the organism in Eukaryota, Viridiplantae, Streptophyta, Magnoliopsida, Apiales, Apiaceae. The record is from RefSeq and is a predicted model, not a curated record. The transcript has 10 exons.